CAGCCGCCGCGGUAAUACGUAGGUGGCAAGCGUUGUCCGGAAUUAUUGGGCGUAAAGGGCUCGCAGGCGGUUUCUUAAGUCUGAUGUGAGAGCCCCCGGCUCAACCGGGGAGGGUCAUUGGAAACUGGGAAACUUGAGUGCAGAAGAGGAGAGUGGAAUUCCACGUGUAGCGGUGAAAUGCGUAGAGAUGUGGAGGAACACCAGUGGCGAAGGCGACUCUCUGGUCUGUAACUGACGCUGAGGAGCGAAAGCGUAGGGAGCGAACAGGAUUAGAUACCCGCGUAGUCCCUGUCUCUUAUAC
RNAcentral lists this ribosomal RNA (301 nucleotides) under uncultured bacterium. Its description in RNAcentral is "partial 16S ribosomal RNA". It matches the Rfam family "Bacterial small subunit ribosomal RNA", at positions 509 to 807 of the family's 1533-position model. The record is from RNAcentral.